RNAcentral lists this ribosomal RNA (216 nucleotides) under Glomeromycotina sp. RNAcentral describes it as "partial small subunit ribosomal RNA". The stretch from base 40 to 216 matches the Rfam family "Eukaryotic small subunit ribosomal RNA", at positions 686 to 864 of the family's 1831-position model. Lineage: Eukaryota; Fungi; Glomeromycota. The record is from RNAcentral.
GGGUCAGUAGGUUGGUCGUGCCACCGGUACGUACUGGUCUCACUGAUUCCUCCUUCCUGAAGAACCGUAAUGCCAUUAAUUUGGUGUUGCGGGGAAACAGGACUGUUACUUUGAGAAAAUUAGAGUGUUUAAAGCAAGCUAACGCUUGAAUACAUUAGCAUGGAAUAAUGAAAUAGGACAAUCGAUCCUAUUUUGUUGGUUUCUAGGAUUGACGUA